GAUGAACGCUGGCGGCGUGCCUGAGAUAUGCAAGUCGAGCGGGAAUUAUUGAAGUCGCAAGACGGAUAUAAUUUCAGCGGCGGACGGCUGAGUAACACGUAAGAAUUUUCCCCAAAGUCUCACACAGCUCACCGAAAGGUGGGGUAAUUUGAGAUGGUCUGUCCCGAUUUAUCGGGAUUGUAAAGCCGCAAGGCGCUUUGGGAUAAGCUUGCGUCCUAUCAGGUAGUUGGUGAGGUAAUGGCUCACCAAGCCUACGACGGGUAGCUGGCCUCAUGAGGGUGGUCAGCCAGAGGGGGACUGAGACACGGCCCCCACUCCUACGGGAGGCAGCAAUCAGGAAUAGUCGGCAAUGGACGAAAGUCUGACCGCGCGACGCCGCGUGUAGGAUGAAGCUUCACAAGAGUGUAAACUACUGUGGUAGGGGAAAAGAAAGGAUGGUACCCUACUAGAAAGCAGCCGCUAACUGCGUGCCAGAAGCGUCGGUAAUACGUGGGCUGCGAGCGUUAUCCGGUGUCAUUGGGCGUAAAGAGUCGUGUAGGUGGGUAUAUAAGUCACCUUUUAAAGCUCUGGGCUCAACCCAGAAAAUUGAGGUGAUACUGUAUGUCUUGAGGUUCCUUUAGGGAGAACGGAAUUGUGGGAGGAGUAGUGAAAUGCGUUGAUACCCACGAGAACUCCAGUGGCGAAGGCGGUUCUCUGGAAGGAUCCUGACACUGAGACACGAAAGUUAGGGGAGCGAAGCAGAUUAGAGACCUGCGUAGUCCUAACUGUAAACGAAUGUAUGCUGGCUGCAUGAGGUUAGCACAAAAUACUACAAAUAUUCAAGAUUCUAUUUCAAGAUUCAUGUAAUUUUCAAUAGUCAAUUUAGAUUGUUAAUUGACCAUUACUUGACACUUGUUAUUGAUAAUUGUCAAUUUGUGUUUUUUGUGCUGAUCUCGUGUGGCGAAGGUAACCCGUUAAGCAUACCGCCUGGGGAGUACGGCCGCAAGGUUGAAACUCAAAGGAAUUGGCGGGGAGGCACACAACCAGAGGAACAUGUGGUUUAAUUCGACACAAAACGAAGAACCUUACCAAGGCUUGACAUGCUAGCGUUCUAUUUCCUGGAAACAGGAGAAAUCCGCAAGGAGGCUAGCACCGGUGAUGCAUGGCUGUCGUCAGUUCGUUCCGUGAGGAGUGCCCUUAAGUGGGACAACGAACGCAACCCCUGUCGUCUGUUAUAAGUGUCAGACGAUACUGCCCUACAGUUUUGUGGGGAGGAAGGCGGGGCAGACGUCAAGUCAGCACGUCCCUUAUGUCUUGGGCUACACACAUGUUACAAUGGACCAUAACAAUGAGCAUUGCAAGCCAGCGAUGGCAAGCUAAUCUCUCAAAUUGGUCCUCAGUGGGGAUUGGAGUCUGCAACUCGACUCCAUGAACUUGGAUUUGGUAGUAAUCGCGGGUCAGCUAUACCGCGGUGAAUACGUUCUUGCCUCUUGCACACACCGCCCGUCAAACCAACAAAGUCGGAGAUAUAUGAACUGCGGCGCAUGCCGUGGGAGUAUAUAGUCGGCGAUGAGGGUU
This 1557-nucleotide ribosomal RNA is filed under the name uncultured bacterium. RNAcentral describes it as "bacterial SSU rRNA". It matches the Rfam family "Bacterial small subunit ribosomal RNA". The record is from RNAcentral.